AAUGAACGCUGGCGGCGUGCUUAAUACAUGCAAGUCGAGCGAACGGACGAGGGGCUUGGCUUUCUGAUGUGAGCGGCGGACGGGGGAGUGACAUGUGGCGGAACGAGUUAUAAGAAGGGGGUAAACUAGGGAAAAGGGAGCUAAAUCCGGAAAAUAUUUUGAAGCAGAAAGCUCAGGAGUGAGAGAUAGUCUUACUGUCACUUAUAGAUGGAUCGGCGGUGCAUUAGCUAGGUGGUAAGGUAACUGCUUACCAAGGCGACGAUCCGUAGCCGGUCUGGGAGGAUGAUCCGCCACACUGGAACUGAGACACGGCCCAGACUCCUACGGGAGGCAGCAGUGCGGAAUCUUGCACAAUGGGCGCAAGCCUGAUGCAGCCAUGCCGCGUGUAUGAUGAAGGUCUUAUGGUUGUAAACUUCUUUUGUUAGGGAAGAACAGUCGUCUGUGAAUAUUGGCUUAUACUGACGGUACCUAAACAAUAAGCACCGGCUAACUACGUG
This 497-nucleotide ribosomal RNA is filed under the name uncultured bacterium. RNAcentral describes it as "partial 16S ribosomal RNA". It matches the Rfam family "Bacterial small subunit ribosomal RNA", at positions 29 to 507 of the family's 1533-position model. The record is from RNAcentral.